UUUUUAAAUUGUCCUAAUGUCAUCUGUCUCUGAUAGCAGUGUCUGCCUGUGUUUUGCAUUCAGAUCUCGCUAUCCACACAAACAUCAUGCAGCCAAAGAAUAAGUUGGGAUCAUAGUACUGGUCUAGUUUUGUCUCUUUCGACCUAUCUACCACUGGCCAGCCUCCAAAUUCCCACACACAG
Molecule: small nucleolar RNA, 182 nt
Filed under: Suricata suricatta (meerkat)
Lineage: Eukaryota; Metazoa; Chordata; Mammalia; Carnivora; Herpestidae
Description: Small nucleolar RNA SNORA23 (ENSSSUG00005016787.1)
Rfam family: Small nucleolar RNA SNORA23
About the family: The members of this family belong to the H/ACA class of snoRNAs which are thought to guide the sites of modification of uridines to pseudouridines. This family includes human snoRNA ACA23 (SNORA23) and mouse snoMBI-1.
Source: Rfam by way of RNAcentral